GAGUUAAGGUUCCUGUGUGAACGGGAGAAGAGUCGUCUCCCAUGUCCUCUCCGUAACGACCACGGACGUAGAGAGCGAGAUAAAGUUCGUGAUAACGAUCGACAGUUUCUUUUCACAAUGGCGCCUGUGAGGGUAGAAGUGGAAUACUGUGGCAAAUGAGGCUAUGAGCCUCGGUACCGGGCGCUGAAGGAUGCCAUCCUGAAGCAAAUUCCGGAUGCCGAGAUUUCUGGAGGGGUUGGUCGCACCAGCUCCUUUGAAAUAAAGGUCAAUGGCAAGCUGGUGUUCUCCAAACUGGAGACACGCGGCUUUCCCAACGAGGCUGAUAUUUUAAGGAGUGUGGAGCAAGCCCAUAAAGGGGAGGAGCCAGAGGUGAUCACAAAUUCUCAGAGCCCAGGCUGCUCCCUCCAAUAAAUGGAGAAGCUGCUCCCAGAAACCUGCCCUUUGAAACCUUAACAUAAUGCCUUUCCUCUAAUAUACAUGCAUACUUUUGUGGCAUGAUGCUUGAAUAGGAUGCUAAAUGGCAUAGUGUUGUGUCUUGAUCAGGAUCUCACUGCUUGCCUUGAAUUUGUUCUUUUAUGUUAGAAAUAUGUGGUAAAUCCAUACAUUAGCAGUGUUUGUCACAGUAUGAUUUAAGAUGUCAAAAAAAAAAAAUAAUGUUAACACUAGUAGGGUGGCUGUCACUCAGAGCUCAGGAAGGAAAUUUUUCUGGUCAUAUACAAUUGGUCAAUACAGUAAGAACAGUAAUACUUUUGAUGUAGACUCUGUGACUAAAUUCAGAAAUUGGAGCUGUACAUGAGGCUGUCUCAGGGACUUGAAAACAAACCAUGCUGGCAUGCUAUUAUUGGAUAGGCAGAUGUUUCAUCCAGUUUGCAAGUCUGUUCUUGCUUGUUUGUACGACUUGCACCUGCUGUUUUGACGAGGUCAGCUGCAAACCAUGGCUUACUUCUGAUGUUAUGUUAAGGAGUAGGGUGCCUGUCAUACAACCCACCAGAAUGUACUUGUUCUCCUGGAACGAGGUUUCAAGGUCUGCAGGAUUAAAUUUGUGCACACUGAAACACUUUUUUUUUAAAGUAACUUUUAUAUGUAUAGUGUGUUUUGUAACUGGAAUUUUGUGCUGAAAAUGUUCUCUACUAUUAAAUCAAACGUGUUAUGGACCAAAGAAAUCAUACAUAUUUGACCGUUCAAGUACAGAUGUCUCUACCCAUGAUACAUCAUUAAAAAUAAUUCCAGUUAUAUUGAACUCAAGUUCACAACAUUUCUCAGAACAUCAUUUAAAAAUCUGUUGGACAGUUCUGAAGAGAGUUCCAGUUAUUGCUUGUUAAGCCAUCACUUGACUGGGGCCAGCUGACUAUUUGACUAUUACGCUGGUCCCUCAGGGAAGAAAAGGUGGGAGGGGAGAACAACUAGACUGCAGCUAACAAGCCUGUCUUGAACAGCAAUCUUACAUGGUAUAGCCAUUCCAUUUAUUUAUGUUAUGAAUUGCAAUUGUCUUCUCAGUGCAAGCAGAGAGAGAUAGAGACCAUGAAGGCAAUGAAUUAUACAGAGAAGUAGAUUUGGCAAUGUCAGAGAAGGGUGGUACAGCAAAAUGAAAGGUGAUAAAUUGUACUAUUAGGGGGAAAAAUAAAGCACACUUAAGUUACAUCACUUUAUAAACUCGCAGACUUCGCAAGAUAUAUUGCACAUUUUUUUCAGGAAUAGCAUGGUCCAUAACAAAGUUGGAAGAAAUCCUUGCUCAACACCCCCAACACUUCAACAAUUUUUAAAGCAUCAUUUUCGUCACAGAAAGAUCAAUUUUUCUGUUUUAUGCACCCUGCACAUAUGGAUGGUAUACCCUUUAGGUGAAUAUUGUGUAUGUUACAAACUGUGGAUCUUUCAACAAAAUAAAUGCUCUCUUCAGUCAUGA
This is a long non-coding RNA of Pomacea canaliculata, 1903 nucleotides long. RefSeq lists it as uncharacterized. NCBI's taxonomy places the organism in Eukaryota, Metazoa, Mollusca, Gastropoda, Architaenioglossa, Ampullariidae. The record is from RefSeq and is a predicted model, not a curated record. The transcript has 4 exons.